GACGAACGCUGGCGGCGUGCUUAACACAUGCAAGUCGAACGGAAAGGCCCUGCUUUUGUGGGGUGCUCGAGUGGCGAACGGGUGUGUAACACGUGAGUAACCUGCCCGUGACUUUGGGAUAACUUCAGGAAACUGGGGCUAAUACCGGAUAGGAGCUCCUGCUGCAUGGGGGGGGUUGGAAAGUUUUGGCGGUUGGGGCUGGACUCGCGGCUGAUCAGCUUGUUGGUGGGGUAGUGGCUGACCAAGGCUUGGACGGGUAGCCGGCCUGAGAGGGUGACCGGCCACAUUGGGACUGGGAUACGGCCCAGACUCCUACGGGAGGCAGCAGUGGGGAAUAUUGCACAAUGGGCGGAAGCCUGAUGCAGCAACGCCGCGUGCGGGAUGACGGCCUUCGGGUUGUAAACCGCUUUCGCCUGUGACGAAGCGUGAGUGACGGUAAUGGGUAAAGAAGCACCGGCUAACUACGUG
RNAcentral lists this ribosomal RNA (468 nucleotides) under uncultured bacterium. Its description in RNAcentral is "partial 16S ribosomal RNA". It matches the Rfam family "Bacterial small subunit ribosomal RNA", at positions 28 to 507 of the family's 1533-position model. The record is from RNAcentral.